ACGGGAGGCAGCAGUGGGGAAUAUUGCACAAUGGGCGCAAGCCUGAUGCAGCAACGCCGCGUGAGGGAAGACGGUCUUCGGAUUGUAAACCUUUGUCUUUGGUGAAGAAGAAAGUGACGGUAGCCAAGGAGGAAGCCACGGCUAACUACGUGCCAGCAGCCGCGGUAAUACGUAGGUGGCAAGCGUUGUCCGGAAUUACUGGGUGUAAAGGGUGCGUAGGCGGCUCAUAAAGUCAGAUGUGAAAUACCGAGGCUCAACCUCGGAGCUGCAUUUGAAACUUAUGGGCUUGAGUGAAGUAGAGGUAAGCGGAAUUCCUAGUGUAGCGGUGAAAUGCGUAGAUAUUAGGAGGAACACCAGUGGCGAAGGCGGCUUACUGGGCUUUAACUGACGCUGAGGCACGAAAGCAUGGGUAGCAAACAGGAUUAGAUACCCUGGUA
Molecule: ribosomal RNA, 437 nt
Filed under: uncultured Clostridium sp.
Lineage: Bacteria; Bacillati; Bacillota; Clostridia; Eubacteriales; Clostridiaceae
Description: partial 16S ribosomal RNA
Rfam family: Bacterial small subunit ribosomal RNA
Source: RNAcentral